This 102-nucleotide ribosomal RNA is filed under the name Xanthomonas citri pv. sesbaniae. The record is from RNAcentral. RNAcentral also lists the same sequence under 1 other name. Lineage: Bacteria; Pseudomonadati; Pseudomonadota; Gammaproteobacteria; Lysobacterales; Lysobacteraceae.
GCGCUGUGGAACCACCCGAUCACAUCCCGAACUCGGAAGUGAAACGCAGCUGCGCCGAUGGUAGUGUGGCUCAAGCCAUGCGAGAGUAGGUCAUCGCCAGGG